Long non-coding RNA from Hydra vulgaris (swiftwater hydra), 306 nucleotides. RefSeq lists it as uncharacterized. NCBI's taxonomy places the organism in Eukaryota, Metazoa, Cnidaria, Hydrozoa, Anthoathecata, Hydridae. The record is from RefSeq and is a predicted model, not a curated record.
UGCAUAGAAUUCGUGAUAAACAAGGAGUUUGCAGCGAUUGCAUGUGAAUUUCUUUCUUUGUGAAUUGCUUGGUUAUCUUUUCGUCAAAAUAUUCUGCUAAACUCUGAAAAAAAACUUAAAGAUAACUCUACUAUCCAGCUAAUGUCCAAAGCGUACCUAUCUGAUGAAUAUGAUGAAGACAAAAAGACUGAAUUAUCGUUCUUGCUGUUGCCGCACAUAUUAAUACCACCACCGUAACGAGGUUUAAAAGCUCCAAGAGUCGGGAGGGAUGUUGUAUCUAAUCUGAUGUUUGUAGAUAUGAAUGAG